AGUACUGAAUUUAUGAUAUGGAUGGCCUUCAUCACUUAGAUGUUUAUGAAGCUGGUUCAUUCUCCAAGCAUCUGACAAUAAAUUUUUCUGAUUCUCAGAAUCAACAGCUUUAAUCUCUCUUGUGGUUGCAUCAGCUGACAUUAGUGGUUUAAUAAAGAAUUGCGCAAAUCUGUCCAAAGCAUCUUCAAAACAAUCAGUGUUGACAUCAAAAUGGUAGUUGGUGUGCUCAGAAGAUGUAUAAGCAUUAGUGCAGCCUCCGUGCUCCGUUAUAUACUUGGAAUAACUAUCCUCCAACGGAUAUUUCUCACUCGCAUAAAACAGCAUAUGCUCCAGAAAAUGGGCAAGGCCUUCCAGGCCAACAGGAUCGCUGAAGGAGCCAACACUGACAUUCAUUGAAGCAGCACACUUAUCGGUUUCGGGAUCGCUGAUGAGAAGGACCUGAAGUGAAUUCUUGAGAACGAUCCUCCUAUACUCUCUUUUGUCCGUUCUUGGCUUGACUAUCUGCACCUCCUCUCUGCCCACCGCCAUUUUUCCUCUGUUCCACAGAGAGCAAAAGAGAAGGGAAGAGAAAGAUCAAAGAUGGCUUCUUUCACAGAAACUAUGGGAG
RNAcentral lists this unclassified non-coding RNA (607 nucleotides) under Hevea brasiliensis (rubber tree). The record is from RNAcentral. Lineage: Eukaryota; Viridiplantae; Streptophyta; Magnoliopsida; Malpighiales; Euphorbiaceae.